GAAGAAUUAUGAAUAUUUCAAAUAGUGUUUUCAACAUAUCAUUUUUUACUCUUGAGCAAGAAGAAAACCAACACACACACAUACACAAAAAAAAAAAAAAAUCAAAUGCCUUGUACAGAUAUUUGAAUUUUCAAUUUUCGGUUUUAAAAAUAAUUAAAAACUAAAAAACGUAAUGGUUGUCAAACGACUCCUAAAAUCAAGAAGGUUUUUCAUUCACCGUUCCACAAGAAAUUUAUCAUUACAUCCAUGGCCACCAUUUUUUUUUCCUUUUCUUUUUUAAUUACUACAACAUAUAUACUAGUGUAACUGAUAAAAUUGCAAAACCAAAACCUACUUCACAAGCACCUCCACAUGCCUCUCCUGCACAUCAGACUCAGUCAUCUUGUUCAACGAUCUCUCCGUUAUCGUAUCCAACAGCGGCUUCCACGAACGACGCGACGAUCUCUGAGAGCCAUAAUCCACCAUCAUACUCAAAUUCUCCUGCUCCACAAACCUUCCCGGACUCCUCCCUGGACUCCUCCCCGGCGACGACGAAGAGCUCCACAUAGGGCUUGGGCAAAACUGGCCGCUCAUGCUUGAAGAAUAGGCCGCAGGAGACUGAGGGGCAGACGGAGACUGCUUCCUGCUGCUCUUUGCUGCUGCAGAAGUGAGUUUUCUGGCUAUGGAAGCCAAGUCGAGAGGAGAAGCAUCACUCCGCAGUGCAGAGUAGGGAAGGAGGAAGUAGACCUGCCCUGGUUGGAGGAGGGUGUCAUGCUUCAAUGGCUUGGACCCAGUUGAGAGGAGCUGCGAUGGAGUGCAUACAAAGUGCUUUGUGGGCUUCCCUGUCACUUGCCCUACUGAGAUUGGGUGCUCAAAAUCCUCCACAUACCCAUUCAGAUGCACCACCUUCACAUUCUGGAGUUCAACUUUUGGUCUGCAAGAAAAGCAACCACCCAUCCUUUUGUUUUUUGAGGUGUGUUUUGGAUGCAGAGAAGAAUUAUGGAAGGGCACACCAUAAGGGAGAUAUAUAUAUAUAUAUAUAUGUGUGUGUGUGUGUGUGUGUGUGUGUAUUUGUAUUUAUAUAUGUAGAUAUGACAAAUGAGAAUUUAAGAAGGAAAGACUGUGUUGUUAAGGCUUGUUACAAAGACUAGACGUGCUGAGAAAAUAUCAUGCUUAAUCAAAUUGUCUUUAUUAGUUUACUUUAUCUUUCAUCUUAUUUAUUGACAUGUUGAUAGUUUUAGAACUUAAACUAAAUAAAUUAAAAAUGAUAAACAAUGAGAAUUUUUUUUUUUUGAAACGACAUACAAAACCUAUAAGUUAACAUUUGCUUUUUACUAGACUCGUUUCCACAAUUU
Molecule: long non-coding RNA, 1334 nt
Filed under: Malus domestica (apple)
Lineage: Eukaryota; Viridiplantae; Streptophyta; Magnoliopsida; Rosales; Rosaceae
Description: long non-coding RNA (MDOM_LNC012489)
Source: RNAcentral